RNAcentral lists this ribosomal RNA (447 nucleotides) under uncultured bacterium. Its description in RNAcentral is "bacterial SSU rRNA". It matches the Rfam family "Bacterial small subunit ribosomal RNA", at positions 355 to 825 of the family's 1533-position model. The record is from RNAcentral.
UCGGGAAUUUUGGGCAAUGGGCGAAAGCCUGACCCAGCAACGCCGCGUGAAGGAUGAAGUAUUUCGGUAUGUAAACUUCGAAAGAAUAGGAAGAAUAAAUGACGGUACUAUUUAUAAGGUCCGGCUAACUACGUGCCAGCAGCCGCGGUAAUACGAAGGGAGCUAGCGUUGUUCGGAAUCACUGGGCGUAAAGCGCACGUAGGCGGAUAGUUAAGUCAGGGGUGAAAUCCUGGGGCUCAACCCCAGAACUGCCUUUGAUACUGGCUGUCUCGAGGUCGAGAGAGGUUGGUGGAAUUCCUAGUGUAGAGGUGAAAUUCGUAGAUAUUAGGAAGAACACCAGUGGCGAAGGCGGCCAACUGGCUCGAUACUGACGCUGAGGCGCGAAAGCCAGGGGAGCAAACGGGAUUAGAUACCCUUGUAGUCCCUGAGCGGGCUGGCAAGGCGCAU